Molecule: ribosomal RNA, 468 nt
Filed under: uncultured bacterium
Lineage: Bacteria
Description: partial 16S ribosomal RNA
Rfam family: Bacterial small subunit ribosomal RNA
Source: RNAcentral
GACGAACGCUGGCGGCGUGCUUAACACAUGCAAGUCGAACGGAAAGGCCCUGCUUGUGUGGGGUGCUCGAGUGGCGAACGGGGGAGGAACACGUGAGUAACCUGCCCUUGACUUUGGGAUAACUUCAGGAAACUGGGCCUAAUUCCGGAUAGGAGCUCCUGCUGCAUUGUGGGGGUUGGAAAGUUUCGGCGGGUGGGGAUGGACUCGCGGAUUAUCAGCUUGUUGGUGGGGUAGUGGCUUACCAAGGCUUUGACCGGUAGCCGGCCUGAGAGAGUGACAGGCCACACUGGGACUGAGAGACGGCCGAGACUCGGAAGGGAGGCAGAAGGGGGGAAUAUUGCACAAUGCGCGGAACGCUGGUGAAGCAACGCCGCGUGCGGGAAGACGGUCUUCGGGUUGUAAACCGCUUUCGCCUGUGACGAAGCGUGAGUGACGGUAAUGGGUAAAGAAGCCACGGCUAACUACGUG